RNAcentral lists this transfer RNA (76 nucleotides) under Aminivibrio sp. RNAcentral describes it as "tRNA-Thr". It matches the Rfam family "tRNA". From Rfam's summary of the family: Transfer RNA (tRNA) molecules are approximately 80 nucleotides in length. Their secondary structure includes four short double-helical elements and three loops (D, anti-codon, and T loops). Further hydrogen bonds mediate the characteristic L-shaped molecular structure. tRNAs have two regions of fundamental functional importance: the anti-codon, which is responsible for specific mRNA codon recognition, and the 3' end, to which the tRNAs corresponding amino acid is attached (by aminoacyl-tRNA synthetases). tRNAs cope with the degeneracy of the genetic code in two manners: having more than one tRNA (with a specific anti-codon) for a particular amino acid; and 'wobble' base-pairing, i.e. permitting non-standard base-pairing at the 3rd anti-codon position. The record is from RNAcentral. Lineage: Bacteria; Thermotogati; Synergistota; Synergistia; Synergistales; Aminobacteriaceae.
GCCGACUUAGCUCAGCAGGUAGAGCACAUCCAUGGUAAGGAUGGGGUCUCCAGUUCGAAUCUGGAAGUCGGCUCCA